GUAAGAACCAUACAGCCGGGUGCGGUGGCUCACGCCUGUAAUCCCAGCACUUUGGGAGGCCGAGGCAGGUGGAUCACGAGGUCAGGAGGGAGGGAGGAGCAUGUUGGCUUGUGAUUAUUCAACAAACAUAAGAAGUGCCUUUCCUACUUUGUGUCCUGUGUGAGUCGGGAACUAAGAUAAAGCGGGUGGUGAAGGAACUGGCGAGGAAGCAUCACAGCAGGGGGGCUGUGCCAGCUUUGAGGAGUCAGUGUGGCACAGAGACUUGCUGUGGUCUGGCUUCCUCGAGGAAGGAACUGUUGCAGGUGUUCACAUGUAUCAGUGCUAUUUAGAGCUACAUGCCCAAAGGCUGUUUGGCCAGCUGGGGAUCUGAUUCUGGUCUCCUAGCUGCUUGUUUUGGUUUCAAAUCUCCUGACUCUUGGGUUUCAGCAGCAUCUGGGAGGCCAAAUGCGUGCUGAGAUUAGCAUGUGCAGGGCUGCAUGGAAACCCUUCGCUAGCGUCCCACAUGGAAUCCAAGAGCAGAAGGGGAAGAAUCUCAUCGGUCCAGCUCUACUCAGGUGCCACUCCCUGUCUAAUCAACUGUGACUGGGCUCAUGUUACUCCUGCCCCCUUCCCCCCACAUACAUGCUGCAGGUGUCUGAGUAAUUGAUGUAGUUGUGGUGGUGAAUUGAGUGUAUCUGUUGCAUGAUUGAGCCCAUUGACAGCCAAGCUCACUGUGGCAGAACAUGCCCUUUCUCAUCCCUGCUUUGAGAAGUGUCUGCUGAAUGCCCAGCCUGCCCCACGAGGCAGGCGCCACCCUGCAGAGAUGGGACAUCUAGCAUUUGUAACACAUGUCACUGUGGGUGUCCUUUCUCUCGCAAACUAGGGAUUUUUUCUUCUUCUUCUUCUUUUUGUUUUUUUUUUUUUAGAUGGAGUCUUGCUCUGUCACCCAGGCUGGAGUGUAGUGGCGUGAUCUCGGCUCCCCACAACGUCUGCUUCCCGGAUUCAAGCGAUUCUCCUACCUUAGCCUCCCAAGUAGCUGGGACUACAGGCGUGCCACCAUGCCUGGCUAACUUUUUGUAUUUUUAGUAGAGACGGGGUUUUGCCAUGUUGGCCAGGCGGGUGGGAUUUCUUCUGUAUUGACAGGGCCAGCAUAGAGCAAGGCACAUAACAGGAGACUUUUGUUAAAUUAACAGAUGCACACUUCCUUUAAUAAUAUUUAGUGUGCUUUAUAGAUUCUUCCCCGUUUUUAUUAUUUAUUUGUGAGGACUUGUCCUUGCUUCAUAGAUGAGAAAACCCAGGCUCGGAGAGAUUAAAUCGCUUGCCCAGCCAUUUCUAAAAUGGAUUAAAUCCCUUGUUGUCUUGUUGUCUUUUGAAGCAGUUCACUGAGCACGUGACUCAUGCCACCACCUAUUGAUGUCUUGGGAUUCUGGAGCAUCAGCUGGCCUCUGCUAUCAAUAAGCCUGCUUCGGGCAGCUUCCUCUCCCUUUUUAUGGAAUGGACUAAGAAAUCUACAUGGUUGGGGUUGUGCGAAAAUCAAGAGCAGUGAGGUUUAGGCUGGAGAUCUGGAGACAUUCGUUACAGAAUAAAACAUAUGAAACAGUGCACGGGCUUUGUGACAGCUUGUUUGUCUCCUCAGAAGCCAUUUUUGCUCAGUCCUACAUUUAGAAAGAACCCAGAUUCAACUAGAAAUUGGCUCUCUGAAUACAGAGGAUGCCUUUGAAUUCCGAUUUUGUCAGUAGGGGUGAUGGAGAACACUGGCAUCUCUGCAAUAUGCUUUUGAAAAUAAAAUGCUUCAUAAUAAAAUGCUCUGGCCGUUUCCCCUAAAUCCCAUUUCCCCCCCCCAAUUCAGCCGCCUGACGUCCUAAAACAUUGCCCUAACAUCUAUACAUUCAUCUUAAUCUGAGGCACCCA
Molecule: long non-coding RNA, 1890 nt
Filed under: Homo sapiens (human)
Lineage: Eukaryota; Metazoa; Chordata; Mammalia; Primates; Hominidae
Description: HSALNT0144243
Source: RNAcentral